RNAcentral lists this ribosomal RNA (492 nucleotides) under uncultured bacterium. RNAcentral describes it as "partial 16S ribosomal RNA". It matches the Rfam family "Bacterial small subunit ribosomal RNA", at positions 29 to 507 of the family's 1533-position model. The record is from RNAcentral.
AGUGAACGCUGGCGGUAGGCCUAACACAUGCAAGUCGAACGGCAGCACAGUAAGAGCUUGCUCUUACGGGUGGCGAGUGGCGGACGGGUGAGGAAUACAUCGGAAUCUACUUUUUCGUGGGGGAUAACGUAGGGAAACUUACGCUAAUACCGCAUACGACCUACGGGUGAAAGCGGGGGAUCUUCGGACCUUGCGCGAUUGAAUGAGCCGAUGUCGGAUUAGCUAGUUGGCGGGGUAAAGGCCCACCAAGGCGACGAUCCGUAGCUGGUCUGAGAGGAUGAUCAGCCACACUGGAACUGAGACACGGUCCAGACUCCUACGGGAGGCAGCAGUGGGGAAUAUUGGACGAUGGGCGCAAGCCUGAUCCAGCCAUACCGCGUGGGUGAAGAAGGCCUUCGGGUUGUAAAGCCCUUUUGUUGGGAAAGAAAAGCAGCAGGUUAAUACCCCGCUGUUCUGACGGUACCCAAAGAAUAAGCACCGGCUAACUUCGUG